Molecule: long non-coding RNA, 2347 nt
Organism: Parus major (Great Tit)
Lineage: Eukaryota; Metazoa; Chordata; Aves; Passeriformes; Paridae
Exons: 3
Source: RefSeq, a predicted model, not a curated record
UUUACAACAAGAAAACAGAAGGAAUGAGAAUUACCUCUAGAACAAGACUCCAGCCAUUCACCUUCAAUAUUUACUAAAGAAAGGCAUCAAAGAGAACAGGGCAAGUUGCUAAGGCUGUAUUCUCCUCCUGGUUUCUUGUUUGGCAGCAACGUGCUCCAGCUGCAGUGGGCGAGGGGUGCAGGAGAUGCAGAGCACAGCUGGCUGUGAUAAAUGAGGCCUGAAGGAGCAUCUGGCUAAUGUGGAACAGACACAGCCCUGUUCAUGGGGGAAGAGCAGGAGGCCAGCACGUGGCAGGAAUGUAAGGCUGGCUCCUGUUCUGGGAGAGGAGAAGGAGGAGAAAAGCGCUGACUGGCAGCCAGGACGUCACACCACGGGCAUUUGAUUGUUAAAUAAAACAGCACAAGUGUUUUCCAGGUACAGCUGGAUUGACUUUCUGUUCUGUCACUUUGAAGUCAAUGCAGUCAUGUAAACAUUAAUGAAUGGACUUGAGAAAAACAAGGAUGAGGAGACAUCAAAAGAAGUGAUGUGUACGUGGGAUAACAAGUGAAAUAUGGAUUAUCUUAAAAACAGCUUCCUUGGACUAUAAGAACAGAUCCAAGUGUGUGGAUGCUCAAGGAAGUGAAUUAAUUGAUAAAGUAGGGAGGGAAUAAGAAGAUGAAGUAGACAAACCUAAGUGUGGAAGGGAAUUUAGCAACAUAACCUAAAUAUAGAUACUGGAGCAGCAGGAGCUGCUGAAGAGAUGUAACAAGAUGUCCAGAGGAUGGAACUGUUUUCUACCAUUUGUCAAGAAUUUUCAUAGAAAAUGCUUUUCUUCUGUUGACUAAAUGAUAUAAAAUGAUUUAGACUAUUAAAACAUUUGAAAAAAAGAAAAUAAGCUAUGAAUAGCAUAGGUGAUUCCUUCCAGCUUUGCAGCUGAAGAAAGCUGCUCUGUUAAACUUGUUUUAUUUUGUCCACAGUGUUCUUGACCUAAUCACAGAAGUAUGUGUCACCCUAAACCUCACCAGCUUCAGAGUUUAACACAUUCCUAACCCUGUCUCAGGAAUGAGGAACUGCACAACCUUGUGUUUAUCUUCAGGUGCUCUUGGGCCUUCAGAAGGAGACAAAAGGAGCAGAAUCUCUCCAACAGCCCUGUUGGAGGUUCUGUUCUCUUGGCAAGGAGCAGAACUCAGAAGAAAAUGGGUCUGAAAAAGCUUUGGCCAUCUGAAGAUGCAAGAGGGAAUAGGAAGUGAAAUGACUGGAGGGUGCCAAGAGAGAGGAUGAAUUCCAACAGCUCCAGCAGGAAUGGUUCCCUGCUGGCCAGCCUAUGCCUUACAGAACCAUGGAAGAGCUUUCCAUGUUUCCACAUGGCUUUUGUGGAGCUCUGAGGUUAUCCUGAGUGUGCUUCCAUAGCCCUCUAAUGUGCAUGGAGGGAAGACAAAAGCCAAUUUAUUUCUAACAUCCCUUCUCUCAGCGCCUCUAAUGUUCCUGCUUCUGAAUCAAAGGGAGGCAUUCUCCAGGAAGAUGCUAAUAAAUAGCUUUUCCUUAGGGGAAGAAGCAUUUUCCCAUCUUUAAGAAAUUUCUCUGGCCAUGUGAAAUUCAAAUUUGUUAACUUGCCCUACAAACCGCAACUCAUUUAGAAACAAAUUACAAAUAUUAGAUGGAGACAGUGAACUUGAUAAUGCAAUGCUGCCACAUCAGUUGUAGAAUAAUGCAUCUUAAUGAAGGCUUCCCAUGUGAAUAAACCAUUAUAUUUACAAGCUUUUCACAGUUAAUGACCCAGAACUGGAUAACGAAACUCACAUUUUUAGUGUGGUCCUCUGUCAGCAAAAGUAUACAUAUUAAUAAUUGAUGUUGCUGUAAAAAUAGGACAUAAUAUGAAGAUUCCUGAGUUUGUGGGAAAAAUAGGACUACAUGGUCCAUUAACUUAAAAGGCUUAUCUAAUGUUUGAUGGGCUUUGUCUUUAAAAUCCUUGUUUAAAUUAAUAAGGCAAAAUGGACAUUUGUCUAAAAGAGAAUUUUAUUCCAACUCAUCAGUCACCAGUGUGCUGAUAAGAAUCUUCUGUUCUGUUCUCUACUCAUUCCCCAAAAGAAUUUAGGUUUUAGGGAAGGGGACAAUGCACCAGUAGAAGGGAGAAGACAUUUCCUACACCUCCCAGAUAUGGAAUGAACUCUUCCCCUGGAGAUCACAGAAAAAGGCAUGAAUUCAGAGAUGCACUGAAUUCCAAGGGGAGGCCAGAAAGAGCCACUGAGGUCAUAAAAAUCAGAAUGGAAAAACAACUUGUAAAUUCUCCUCAUGAAGGCUGCUCGAGCACGGCCCUGGCGAGCCCUUUCUGCCACCUGGAUCACUCUAAUGCCCUCUUCAAGUGUCA